Molecule: transfer RNA, 82 nt
Filed under: Acidimicrobiales bacterium
Lineage: Bacteria; Bacillati; Actinomycetota; Acidimicrobiia; Acidimicrobiales
Also listed under: 1 other name
Description: tRNA-Tyr
Rfam family: tRNA
About the family: Transfer RNA (tRNA) molecules are approximately 80 nucleotides in length. Their secondary structure includes four short double-helical elements and three loops (D, anti-codon, and T loops). Further hydrogen bonds mediate the characteristic L-shaped molecular structure. tRNAs have two regions of fundamental functional importance: the anti-codon, which is responsible for specific mRNA codon recognition, and the 3' end, to which the tRNAs corresponding amino acid is attached (by aminoacyl-tRNA synthetases). tRNAs cope with the degeneracy of the genetic code in two manners: having more than one tRNA (with a specific anti-codon) for a particular amino acid; and 'wobble' base-pairing, i.e. permitting non-standard base-pairing at the 3rd anti-codon position.
Source: RNAcentral
GGGUCGGUGCCCGAGCGGACAAAGGGAGCAGACUGUAAAUCUGCCGGCUACGCCUACGAAGGUUCGAAUCCUUCCCGGCCCA